This 254-nucleotide ribosomal RNA is filed under the name uncultured bacterium. Its description in RNAcentral is "partial 16S ribosomal RNA". It matches the Rfam family "Bacterial small subunit ribosomal RNA", at positions 524 to 776 of the family's 1533-position model. The record is from RNAcentral.
AACGGAGGGUGCAAGCGUUGCUCGGAAUCACUGGGCGUAAAGCGUACGCAGGCGGCUCGAUAAGUCGGGUGUGAAAGCCCGGGGCUCAACACCGGAAUUGCGCCCGAUACUGCCGAGCUUGAGUACGGGAGAGGGAUAGCGGAAUUCCUGGUGUAGAGGUGAAAUUCGUAGAGAUCAGGAGGAACACCAGUGGCGAAAGCGGCUUCCUGGCCCGAUACUGACGCUCAUGUACGAAAGAGUGGGGAGCAAACAGG